UACGAAGGGUGCAAGCGUUACUCGGAAUUACUGGGCGUAAAGGGUGCGUAGGUGGUUUGUUAAGUCUGCUGUGAAAUCCCCGGGCUCAACCUGGGAAUGGCAGUGGAUACUGGCAAGCUAGAGUGCGGUAGAGGGUAGUGGAAUUCCCGGUGUAGCAGUGAAAUGCGUAGAGAUCGGGAGGAACACCAGUGGCGAAGGCGGCCACCUGGGCCGGAACUGACGCUGAGGCGCGAAAGCGUGGGGAGCAAACGGG
This 253-nucleotide ribosomal RNA is filed under the name uncultured bacterium. Its description in RNAcentral is "partial 16S ribosomal RNA". It matches the Rfam family "Bacterial small subunit ribosomal RNA", at positions 524 to 776 of the family's 1533-position model. The record is from RNAcentral.